UCACUUACCUGGACGGGAUCUAUGAGUGAUCAAUAAGGCUCAUGGCCUAGAUCAAUGGCUCACAUUGCACUUUGUGAGUACGUUGAUCUACCAUCUCCCCUUCGAGGGAGAGUGGACGUCGUAGUUUGUGAUAGAGGGGGUACGUGUUCGCGCAGCCCCUGC
Molecule: small nuclear RNA, 162 nt
Filed under: Triticum aestivum (bread wheat)
Lineage: Eukaryota; Viridiplantae; Streptophyta; Magnoliopsida; Poales; Poaceae
Also listed under: 1 other name
Description: snRNA U1
Rfam family: U1 spliceosomal RNA
About the family: U1 is a small nuclear RNA (snRNA) component of the spliceosome (involved in pre-mRNA splicing). Its 5' end forms complementary base pairs with the 5' splice junction, thus defining the 5' donor site of an intron. There are significant differences in sequence and secondary structure between metazoan and yeast U1 snRNAs, the latter being much longer (568 nucleotides as compared to 164 nucleotides in human).
Source: RNAcentral